GUGGGGAAUAUUGGGCAAUGGGCGAAAGCCUGACCCAGCAACGCCGCGUGAAGGAAGAAGGUUUUCGGAUCGUAAACUUCUAUCCUUGGUGAAGAUAAUGACGGUAGCCAAGAAGGAAGCCCCGGCUAACUACGUGCCAGCAGCCGCGGUAAUACGUAGGGGGCAAGCGUUGUCCGGAAUGAUUGGGCGUAAAGGGCGCGUAGGCGGCCCGGUAAGUCUGAAGUGAAAGUCCUGCUUUUAAGGUGGGAAUUGCUUUGGAUACUGUCGGGCUUGAGUGCAGGAGAGGUAAGCGGAAUUCCGAGUGUAGCGGUGAAAUGCAUAGAUAUUAGGAGGAACACCAGUGGCGAAGGCGGCUAACUGGACUGUAACUGACGCUGAGGCGCGAAAGUGUGGGGAGCAAACAGGAUUAGAUACCCUGGUAGUCC
This 425-nucleotide ribosomal RNA is filed under the name uncultured bacterium. RNAcentral's name for it is "partial 16S ribosomal RNA". It matches the Rfam family "Bacterial small subunit ribosomal RNA", at positions 354 to 796 of the family's 1533-position model. The record is from RNAcentral.